Molecule: ribosomal RNA, 445 nt
Filed under: uncultured bacterium
Lineage: Bacteria
Description: bacterial SSU rRNA
Rfam family: Bacterial small subunit ribosomal RNA
Source: RNAcentral
AGCGAACGCUGGCGGCAGGCCUAAUACAUGCAAGUCGAACGCACCUUCGGGUGAGUGGCGGACGGGUGAGUAACGCGUGGGAACGUGCCCUUUGGUUCGGAACAACACAGGGAAACUUGUGCUAAUACCGAAUGUGCCCUUCGGGGGAAGGAUUUAUCGCCAUUGGAGCGGCCCGCGUUGGAUUAGCUAGUUGGUAGGGUAAAAGCCUACCAAGGCUACGAUCCAUAGCUGGUCUGAGAGGANGAUCAGCCACACUGGGACUGAGGCACGGCCCAGACUCCUACGGGAGGCAGCAGUAGGGAAUCUUGCGCAAUGGGCGAAAGCCUGACGCAGCCAUGCCGCGUGAAUGAUGAAGGUCUUAGGAUUGUAAAAUUCUUUCACCGGGGAAGAUAAUGACGGUACCCGGAGAAGAAGCCCCGGCUAACUUCGUGCCAGCCGCCGCGGU